CUUGCUUCUCUUGAGAGCGGCGGACGGGUGAGUAAUGCCUAGGAAUCUGCCUGGUAGUGGGGGAUAACGUUCGGAAACGGACGCUAAUACCGCAUACGUCCUACGGGAGAAAGCAGGGGACCUUCGGGCCUUGCGCUAUCAGAUGAGCCUAGGUCGGAUUAGCUAGUUGGUGGGGUAAUGGCUCACCAAGGCGACGAUCCGUAACUGGUCUGAGAGGGUGAUCAGUCACACUGGAACUGAGACACGGUCCAGACUCCUACGGGAGGCAGCAGUGGGGAAUAUUGGACAAUGGGCGAAAGCCUGAUCCAGCCAUGCCGCGUGUGUGAAGAAGGUCUUCGGAUUGUAAAGCACUUUAAGUUGGGAGGAAGGGUUGUAGAUUAAUACUCUGCAAUUUUGACGUUACCGACAGAAUAAGCACCGGCUAACUCUGUGCCAGCAGCCGCGGUAAUACAGAGGGUGCAAGCGUUAAUCGGAAUUACUGGGCGUAAAGCGCGCGUAGGUGGUUUGUUAAGUUGGAUGUGAAAUCCCCGGGCUCAACCUGGGAACUGCAUUCAAAACUGACUGACUAGAGUAUGGUAGAGGGUGGUGGAAUUUCCUGUGUAGCGGUGAAAUGCGUAGAUAUAGGAAGGAACACCAGUGGCGAAGCGACCACCUGGACUAAUACUGACACUGAGGUGCGAAAGCGUGGGGAGCAAACA
Molecule: ribosomal RNA, 698 nt
Filed under: uncultured bacterium
Lineage: Bacteria
Description: bacterial SSU rRNA
Rfam family: Bacterial small subunit ribosomal RNA
Source: RNAcentral